Molecule: ribosomal RNA, 243 nt
Filed under: uncultured bacterium
Lineage: Bacteria
Description: partial 16S ribosomal RNA
Rfam family: Bacterial small subunit ribosomal RNA
Source: RNAcentral
GCGAGGUGGAGCAAACCCCCAAAAGCGGUCCCAGUUCGGAUUGUAGGCUGCAACCCGCCUACAUGAAGUUGGAAUUGCUAGUAAUCGCAGAUCAGAAUGCUGCGGUGAAUACGUUCCCGGGCCUUGUACACACCGCCCGUCACACCAUGGGAGCCGGUAAUGCCCGAAGCCAGUGACCCAACCUUAGGGAGGGAGCUGUCGAAGGUGGAGCCGGUAACUGGGGUGAAGUCGUAACAAGGUACC